This 2872-nucleotide ribosomal RNA is filed under the name Chiloscyllium punctatum (brownbanded bambooshark). RNAcentral describes it as "eukaryotic LSU rRNA". The stretch from base 1455 to 2872 matches the Rfam family "Eukaryotic large subunit ribosomal RNA", at positions 1889 to 3390 of the family's 3401-position model. The record is from RNAcentral. Lineage: Eukaryota; Metazoa; Chordata; Chondrichthyes; Orectolobiformes; Hemiscylliidae.
ACAAUUAUAUAUAAUGAUAAAAUUAACUGGAAGUUAAAUGAAGGGAGUAUACAGUUUAUAGAGCCAGGUAGUACGGAUAAAUAUUUAGGUGCUAAGAUAGAUCCGUGGAUCGACAUAAGCCAAUCAAACUGGGAAAGCCAAAUAGAUAUAUGGUUAGGAAAUUUAAAAAGAUCCCCCUUAAAACCAGUUCAAAAAGUAGAAAUUUUAAAAACAUAUUUAUUUCUAGACUAUAUUAUCAUUUAGUUUUAUCUGAAGUCUCUAUUAAUUAUCUUAACAAAUUAGAUAAUAAAAUAAAAAGUGCAGUUAAAGAAAUUUUACACCUCCCGCAAUCCAUCACGGAUGGAGUGUUAUAUGCCAAGUCCUGUGAUAGUGGCCUUGCUUUAAACAGACUGUCAACCUUUAUUCCAAUCUCAAUUAUGAGGAAGUAUGGGAUGCUACAGAAAUCUGAGGACGAAAUUUUGCAUGCAUCAUUUCGGUUCAAGGGUGACAGUGUGGCAACAAAAAUGUAUAAAUUGAGUAAACUUAAAGUGAUGGAAAACAUCUGGAACCCGAAUAUUAAUCGACGAUUGGGUAAAGAGGAUACUAUCAGGGAAGAUAGUGAAGAUGAGAUGGAAGAGUUUAGCAGUACCAACUAUGCUAACUGGAGAGGUAUAGAGAUACAGAGAUGGAUGGCCCUCCCCUCUCAAGGGGCAGGGGUUCAUUAUUAUAAAAAUGAUAGUAUAUCCAAUGGUUGGUUGACCAAAGUACAAUAUAUGAAGACGUCUAAAGUUACCAAUUCGAUUUUACUGAGAACAAUUUACAUCCAACAAGAGCAUCAAUGUCGUAUGGAAAGCCAUGUAAUAUCAAGAAUUGCAGAAGGUGUAAUGAUACGUCAGAAACGUUUGCGCAUAUCUCGGGGUGGUGCCCUUAUGUUAAAAACAUGAGGAUCAAAAGGCAUAAUAGAGUUGCAGAAGAAUUAGUUAAGUAUGGAAGAACAUGUGGACAGUAUAUAUAGAACCGAGAAUUAAAGAUGAUGCCGGGAAACUUUGGAUACUGGAUCUAAUUUUUCAGAAAGAACACCAGGUCGUUGUUGUGGAUGUAACUAUUAGAACGGAUCUUCAGAUCAACUCCCUCGAAUCGGCGUGGGAAGAAAAGAUAAACAAGUAUAAACAUCUAGGAAAAGAGAUAAUGGACCUCAUUGAUGGAGGAACGAUAUCCUUUUACAGUUUUGUGAUAGGAGCCCAAGGGAAGUAGUUCGAAAAGUACACUGAGUUGAUGAAAGACCUCGGGUUCUCGAAAUUUAAAUCUGUUGCACAGAAUAUCACAACCCUUGUUUUGUCUUUGACUCUCGAACUUUUACAGAUUUUUAUGGACCCUUAAUUUCUCCUAUUCACGUUAUUUAAUGAGGUUUUAAUAAGUUUUAGGUAUUUUAAUAGUUUUAAUUAAUCAUUUUAAUAGUUUUUAAUGGUUUUAUUAAUAAAAGUAUAUAGUUUUAGAUCACUUAGUUCAAAGGUGGUGGGUAGAUUGGGAUGUUAAUAAUUAAAGUGCACAUUUCACACAACAAGUGAUGAGCGGUUACCUAGUCUAACGGUUGAUAAGCCCAGCUCAUCCCUUGCCUCGCUGAGAUUCUGACUCACAAUAUCUUUUAUCGUCCCCUUAAGAUCAUCUGGCUGGGGGGUUCGCUGGAUAGGGGUAUUCACGCGUCGACAAGCGACGUUAAAAUCUCGAAAAGGACACGAUCCAUUGCGUAUGGCGAGUGCAUAAAAUUAGCCAAAUGCCUCGUCAUCUAAUUAGUGAUGCACAUGAAUGGAUGAACGAGAUUCCCACUUUCCCUACCUAUUAUCUAGCGAAACCACAGCCAAGGGAACGGGGCUUGGCAGAAUUAGCGGGGAAAGAAGACCCUUUUGAGCUUGACUCUAAUCUGGCACUGUGAAGAGACAUGAGAGGUGUAGAAUAAGUGGGAGGCUUCGGCCGCCGGUGAAAUACCACUACUCUUAUCGUUUUUUCACUUACCCGGUGAGGCGGGGAGGCGAGCCCUGAGGGGCUCUCGCUUCUGGUCGGAAGCGCCCGGGCGGCCGGGCGCGACCCGCUCCGGGGACAGUGGCAGGUGGGGAGUUUGACUGGGGCGGUACACCUGUCACACCGUAACGCAGGUGUCCUAAGGCGAGCUCAGGGAGACAGAAACCUCCCGUUGAACAGAAGGGCAAAAGCUCACUUGAUCUUGAUUUUCAGUACGAGUACAGACCGUGAAAGCGGGGCCUCACGAUCCAUCUGACCUUUUGGGUUUUAAGCAGGAGGUGUCAUAAAAGUUACCACAGGGAUAACUGGCUUGUGGUGGCCAAGCGUUCAUAGCGACGUCACUUUUUGAUCCUUCGAUGUCGGCUCUUCCUAUCAUUGUGAAGCAGAAUUCACCAAGCGUUGGAUUGUUCACCCACUAAUAGGGAACGUGAGCUGGGUUUAGACCGUCGUAAGACAGGUUAGUUUUACCCUACUGAUGUUGUGUUGUUGCAAUAGUAAUCCUGCUCAGUACGAGAGGAACUACAGAUUCAGACAUUUGGUGUAUGUGCUUGGCGAGGAGCCAAUGGUGUGAAGCUACCAUCUGUGGGAUUAUGACUGAACGCCUCUAAGUCAGAAUCCUGCCUAAAUGUAAUGAUACCCUAGCGCCAUGGAUCACUUGUUGGUCGAGGAUAACCGACUCCAGUCGGUGCGUAUCACCAUUCGAUUCUGGUCUGGAGUGCGACCGUAUGGGCGCUGCCUCUCUCCUUUACUUGCACCUCAUGUUCAUGGGGAACCUGGUGCUAAAUCAUUUGUAGACGACCUGAUUCAGGCUCAGGGUUUCGUAAGUAGCAGAGCAGCUACCUCGCUGCGAUCUAUUGGAAGUCAUCCCUCGUGC